UACGUAGGGUGCGAGCGUUAAUCGGAAUUACUGGGCGUAAAGUGUGCGCAGGCGGCCGAGCAAGUCGAGUGUGAAAGCCCCGGGCUUAACUUGGGAACUGCAUUUGUGACUGCAUCGCUGGAGUGCGGCAGAGGGGGAUGGAAUUCCGCGUGUAGCAGUGAAAUGCGUAGAUAUGCGGAGGAACACCGAUGGCGAAGGCAAUCCCCUGGGCCUGCACUGACGCUCAUGCACGAAAGCGUGGGGAGCAAACAGG
Molecule: ribosomal RNA, 253 nt
Filed under: uncultured bacterium
Lineage: Bacteria
Description: partial 16S ribosomal RNA
Rfam family: Bacterial small subunit ribosomal RNA
Source: RNAcentral